CCGAACGGCACUGUCCUGUCCAUAAAUGCCACUGAUGAGGAAAGGAUUUACUACGAGUUUGGCCAGAAAUGGCACAUCAACCCAAAUGAGUCCUUAUUUUACUACUCACCUGGCACCGGACCAGCCAACUUCACAGAUUCAAAUUUCGUUCCGGUUUUCGGCACUGCCAUUCCCACUGGAAUCAACCAGACCACGGUCGACGAGGCCAAGCGUUUGUGCGGGGAUAGCAAACAGUGCAUUUUCGAUUUCCUUCGCACAAGGUCUUUAGACGUUGCUAAGGAUACAAAAGAGACACAACUCACUAACGAGGAACAGGAAAAGACAGUCGAAAACCGGGCACCUGUGAUUUCCGGGCCUUCAGUUAUCAACAUUAUAGCCAAUCAACAGAACGAAAUCUUCACAACUUUCGUAGACCCUGACGGGGACAAUUUAACGUUUGUUGAGACGGCCGUGUUAUCUCUGGGGGCGAACACUUCUAUCGUUAAUGAUACGGCACGGAAAAUCAC
Molecule: long non-coding RNA, 506 nt
Organism: Lingula anatina
Lineage: Eukaryota; Metazoa; Brachiopoda; Lingulata; Lingulida; Lingulidae
Source: RefSeq, a predicted model, not a curated record